This 201-nucleotide ribosomal RNA is filed under the name Noturus taylori (Caddo madtom). RNAcentral's name for it is "partial 16S ribosomal RNA". It matches the Rfam family "Bacterial large subunit ribosomal RNA", at positions 1820 to 2076 of the family's 2925-position model. The record is from RNAcentral. Lineage: Eukaryota; Metazoa; Chordata; Actinopteri; Siluriformes; Ictaluridae.
CUCCUGCAAAAAUCAACGUAUAGGAGGUCUUACCUGCCCAGUGACAUGUUAAACGGCCGCGGUAUUUUGACCGUGCGAAGGUAGCGCAAUCACUUGUCUCUUAAAUAGAGACCUGUAUGAAUGGUGGAACGAGGGCUUAACUGUCUCCCCUCUCAAGUCAAUGAAAUUGAUCUGCCCGUGCAGAAGCGGACAUACAAAUAC